AAAUGUCAUGAGUCUUAAAACUUCUAGAAUUUAGAGGAGUUUUUGCUGACAGUCAUAGAGUGUGCACAACUUUGAGAGAUUGGGGAAGUGUUUCUGCUUUUUCAUGUUUUGGUAGUUUUGUGGAAAAUAUCACAUACUGGUCACAUUAUAAUCUACAUAAAGAACACAAGAGACAUAGACAGUUUCAGAGUUUUUACUUUGAAAUCAUAGAGCUGCAUAUGAAGAGAUACUGGUUAAAUGUA
Ruditapes philippinarum (Manila clam) is the source of this 242-nucleotide long non-coding RNA. RefSeq lists it as uncharacterized. The transcript is spliced from 3 exons. Lineage: Eukaryota; Metazoa; Mollusca; Bivalvia; Venerida; Veneridae. The record is from RefSeq and is a predicted model, not a curated record.